AGCAGACUCUGUGUCACAGCCUUAGUAACGUCCCCUUUUAGGACCAUGAGCACCACUUGUUUGCACUGGACACUGAAUUCUUGAUACUCUUCUUGGACUGCUUUUUUGUUUUUAUUUCCAACAGAGGUAACUAAUCAGGGCUUUACAGAUCAAGAAAGCCAACUAUGGUUCACCAAGAAAAAGCAGCAGCUUACCAUACGUGACUGUGCCCCAAGAUGCCAAGAAUGUCAAGAGUCUGCACUUUGGGGAUGGUUCCCUUAUGAUGCACACUCCAUCUGCCCGAGAGUCACAGAAUUCUGGAGACAGAAGGGCCCUCAGAGGUUCUCCAGCCCUUCCUUUACUAGUUGUGGCCUCUCAUCACUGGAUUCCUCCCUGCUGGUCACCUGGCCUGAGCCACUGCCUAGUCAUGGGGAGUCCACUUCCACCAUCAAAGACAUCUGGGAUUACUGAAGCCGCAGUCAGCCUCUCUGCAACUUCUUCCCAUUCAGCAAAGAUUUCCCUCGAUUCCCGUGGGUGUUUGGCAAACGGAAACGGAGCAGGCAUGGGAGGCAUCUCUCUCCAGGCACUCGGGGAUGCCUCUUACCAGCCACCCACCAGCAGCCUGUAGCUGGCAUCGCGGGGCUCAGCCACCCAAGCUGGACCAGCCUUGCUGGGCGCCAAGCACUCGUCCCUCUCUGUCCAUCUGGAAAAGGUUUGAAAGUUUGAAGCAGAAAAGGUCCCUUCUGCAUUUUAAAGGAUGUGGAAACUGAGUAGCCUGGGUGUUGGUCUGAUUCCAUGAGUGAGUAAUCCAUUUCCUGAAAGUAAACUGCUCACCCUUUGGAAGUGGACCAGGGAUUUUGGGGUGCCAUGUGAAGUGUCACUAACUGGGUAAAUAUUUACUGGCAGAAGCCACGGAACUUUUCUAGGAAUGUCAGUUAAUUUACUAAAUGAAUGACCCUUAAGGUGACAACCUAAAAAAAAGUUAACUUGUCUUUUAAUGGGUGAGCAUUUUAUGCCUGGGAUGGGGUAUUAGGAGGGAGGGUGCUUCUCUGACUAGUUAGAAUAACCACAUAUAAAUUAAAACCAGGCCUGACUUUAGAAUCUCUACCUUCUAACUUUUCUUGACUCCUGAUUUUCUAUUAAAAUCUGAGCCGAUGAUUGGUUGACUUUGGAAAACUCUGUUCUCUAUGCCAAUAAUUUGCCUGGAGUUUCAAAUGACAGGAUUUGAAAAAUGCCUUCUCUGGGAGUCUACUGGCUUCGGGGAUUCCAUAUAUCUGCCACUUACUAAAAGACUGUGCCCUUCUGGAUAUACCUAGAGUCAUGCCUCUCACUCUCCUGUGUGGAACAAUUUAGACUCUCCUGUGUGGAACAAUUUAGACUUCAAUCAGGUGGCUUGAAAAAGCCUCUUGCACUGAUGAAUAAAAAGGUGAUUUCUUUUUGGCUCAAAUGAUCACUUAAACAGUCUUUUCAAAAAGACUCCUGUGUCCCCUGCUUCAUGAAACAGGCAAUCUGCAGGAAGUAAUCUAAAUUUUCUGAUUAAAACUAUGCAGACAGAUGAGUGUUUUUGGAGCUCCGCUGGGAAGAGGAAGAGUUUGUAUGUGAGGCAGCCUCUGAUGUAGGAAUAAAUCAGGCUGAGAAGUGAUUCUCAGUGGAAGAAUCAUGGAAGUGAUGAAGUUGACAGAGAAAGGUCAUUCUGGAUUCCCAUCCUCAUGCUCAGUCUCCCGCCAGCGCUCAGUCUCUCUCAGGACGAGCCCUUUUAGUAGAGUUUGGGAAACAUAUGUGACUGUGUUGAGCUCGGGCACCCCCUCCAAGCAGUUUUCCGAGACAGAAAUGGAGGUUUCCCUGACUCUGCCCAAACGGAGUCGGGAUAUGUCCACUUGCGUCUGGUUUUAGGCCAACCGUACGGUAUCCUAGAAUCAGAUGCCAUCUACCUGCUGUUCCUUCCCUAACAGGGGUGCUCUGGGAAGGGGAUGACUCUGUGACUCCAAGAGAUGACAACCCUCCCUAGUGUGCUGGAGCCUGAGCCUGCAAAGGCCAGAGCAUCAGUACUCGCUUCUGUCCCUGGAGAACCAGGCAGGGUGCUCACUUGGGUAUACAGCUUCCCCUGGGAAGGCCCAUCUCUCACAGCACUACACAGCGGCUGGCAUGGAAGAAAACAAUAUGCUGGCUGCCAAGAACACAGGGUUGGUGGUCCACGUAGCCAGCAACGUUAAAAACAGUGUUUUCCUUGU
Vicugna pacos (alpaca) is the source of this 2210-nucleotide long non-coding RNA. RefSeq lists it as uncharacterized. The record is from RefSeq and is a predicted model, not a curated record. NCBI's taxonomy places the organism in Eukaryota, Metazoa, Chordata, Mammalia, Artiodactyla, Camelidae.